GACGAACGCUGGCGGCGUGCUUAACACAUGCAAGUCGAACGAUGAAGCCGGAGCUUGCUCUGGUGAAUUAGUGGCGAACGGGUGAGUAACACGUGAGUAACCUGCCCUUGACUCUGGGAUAACUGCUAGAAAUGGUAGCUAAUACCGGAUACGACCCUCGGCGGCAUCGCCAGGGGGUGGAAAGAAUUUCGGUCAAGGAUGGACUCGCGGCCUAUCAGCUAGUUGGUGAGGUAACGGCUCACCAAGGCGACGACGGGUAGCCGGCCUGAGAGGGUGACCGGCAACACUGGGACUGAGACACGGCCCAGACUCCUACGGGAGGCAGCAGUGGGGAAUAUUGCACAAUGGGCGCAAGCCUGAUACAGCAACGCCGCGUGAGGGAUGACGGCCUUCGGGUUGUAAACCUCUUUUAGUAGGGAAGAAGCGAAAGUGACGGUACCUGCAGAAGAAGCACCGGCUAACUAUGUGCCAGCAGCCGCCGUAA
Molecule: ribosomal RNA, 484 nt
Filed under: uncultured bacterium
Lineage: Bacteria
Description: partial 16S ribosomal RNA
Rfam family: Bacterial small subunit ribosomal RNA
Source: RNAcentral